UCCUGGGUAGCUCAGUCGGUUGAGCAUCUGACUUUGGCUCAGGUCACGAUCUUACGGCUCAGGAG
Molecule: transfer RNA, 65 nt
Filed under: Felis catus (domestic cat)
Lineage: Eukaryota; Metazoa; Chordata; Mammalia; Carnivora; Felidae
Source: Rfam by way of RNAcentral